This 504-nucleotide ribosomal RNA is filed under the name uncultured bacterium. Its description in RNAcentral is "bacterial SSU rRNA". It matches the Rfam family "Bacterial small subunit ribosomal RNA", at positions 24 to 518 of the family's 1533-position model. The record is from RNAcentral.
UCAGGAUGAACGCUAGCGACAGGCUUAACACAUGCAAGUCGAGGGGCAGCAUAAAAGUAGCAAUACGUUGGUGGCGACCGGCGCACGGGUGAGUAACGCGUAUGCAACCUACCUAUCAGAGGGGAAUAACCCGGCGAAAGUCGGACUAAUACCGCAUAAAACAGGGACACCGCAUGGUGAUAUUUGUUAAAGAAAUUCGCUGAUAGAUGGGCAUGCGUUCCAUUAGGUAGUUGGUGAGGUAACGGCUCACCAAGCCGACGAUGGAUAGGGGAACUGAGAGGUUGGUCCCCCACACUGGUACUGAGACACGGACCAGACUCCUACGGGAGGCAGCAGUGAGGAAUAUUGGUCAAUGGGCGAGAGCCUGAACCAGCCAAGUCGCGUGAAGGGAAAAGAAGGAUCUAUGGUUCGUAAACUUCUUUGCAGGGGAAUAAAGUGCAGGACGUGUCCUGUUUUGUAUGUACCCUGAGAAUAAGGAUCGGCUAACUCCGUGCCAGCAGCUGC